UACGUAGGGAACAAGCGUUGUCCGGAAUUACUGGGUGUAAAGGGCGAGUAGGCGGGACAAAAAGUCAGAUGUGAAAACUAUGGGCUUAACCCAUAGCCUGCAUUUGAAACUUUUGUUCUUGAGAGAUGGAGAGGUAAGCGGAAUUCCUAGUGUAGCGGUGAAAUGCGUAGAUAUUAGGAGGAACACCAGUGGCGAAGGCGGCUUACUGGACAUUUACUGACGCUGAGGAGCGAAAGCGUGGGGAGCGAACAGGAUUAGAUACCCUGGUAGUCCACGCCGUAAACGAUGAUUACUAGGUGUAGGGGGUAUCGACUCCCCCUGUGCCGCAGCAAACGCAAUAAGUAAUCCACCUGGGGAGUACGGCCGCAAGGUUGAA
Molecule: ribosomal RNA, 376 nt
Filed under: uncultured bacterium
Lineage: Bacteria
Description: bacterial SSU rRNA
Rfam family: Bacterial small subunit ribosomal RNA
Source: RNAcentral